Molecule: ribosomal RNA, 475 nt
Filed under: uncultured bacterium
Lineage: Bacteria
Description: bacterial SSU rRNA
Rfam family: Bacterial small subunit ribosomal RNA
Source: RNAcentral
GACGAACGCUGGCGGCGUGCCUAACACAUGCAAGUCGAACGGAGAGGACAUGAAGUAUUUCGGUACGGAAUGCUCUCUUAGUGGCGAACGGGUGAGUAACACGUGGGCAACCUGCCCCAGACUGGGGGAUAACAUUGUGAAAACAGUGCUAAUACCGCAUGACAGGGUUCCGGGCAUCCGGGACCCUUGAAAGGAGAAAUCCGGUCAGGGAUGGGCCCGCGUCCAAUUAGCUAGUUGGCGGGUAACGGCCCACCAAGGCGACGAUUGGUAGCCGAACUGAGAGGUUGAUCGGCCACAUUGGGACUGAGACACGGCCCAGACUCCUACGGGAGGCAGCAGUGGGGAAUAUUGGGCAAUGGGCGAAAGCCUGACCCAGCGACGCCGCGUGAAGGAUGAAGGUCUUCGGAUUGUAAACUUCUUUGAUCAGGGAAGAAGAAAUGACGGUACCUGAAAACAAGCCACGGCUAACUACGUG